CCGUUUGUCCUGUGGGUUCCAGGGAUUGAGCUCAGGUUGUCAGGUUUUGAGCUCCCCAAAAACCUUCAACCUAAAGCACAUAUCAAGAUGGCGUCCAGGUCAGGAGCGUGUCUUCAAAUGAGGACCUAAUGGAUGUUAUGUAGUCCUUUGCUUUGAGAAUUUGGAGUUAUAGACCCUCAGAUUAUGGAUGCAAACAAGGGACUCCAUAUGUAUCUUCAGUUAUAAUUUUUUUUUACACAAGUUGCUUAAUAACAAGGCAAUGACGAUGUACACUUGUAGUUCCUUGGAAGCUGAUGUAAAUAACUCUCUCCAGUAUGAGGGUUUGUGUCCAACUGAUCAGCAAAGCAAGACCGUCUCAGAAGAAAAAGUGCCACACAAACCUGAAUGCGGGUUGCAUCCCUGAAAUAGCGACACUCACGAGGCCGAGGCACGAUGAUUGUGAGUUGGAGGCCAGCCUGGGCUACACAGAUCUGGUUUCAACAACAAUAACAACAACAACAAUGACAACAGAAGAAAAAUUCACUCUGAAAAAAAAGUCUAAAAACUAAAACAACCAAAAUCUCUACAAUAAUAUCAACAAAUCCAAAUAAAGCAGGGCAGCAAAAAUAGCUGAGAAGAAAGCACCUCUUGAGACCAUAACAAUCACUAGUAACAUUUUAUAAUGAUGUCUCUCCCUGCAUGUUCAUGAAUACACCGUAUGCUCCUUCUACCUGUAUUAUUCAGACUCCUUUUUGUUUUGUUUUGUUUUGUUUUUUGUUUUGUGAGCCAAUUGUAAAAUUUGUUCGUAGGUUGCUCCUACGAAAUCAUUAUUUCUCCAGAGAUGACAGGGUGGAACGUCUUCAUUUUUCCCAUUCCUUGGUCGUUUUCAUUUUUUGUUAUUGUAAAUAAUGGUGGUGGUCACUGUAUCACACAUAUGUUUUCUUUGUGUCUUGAUGCUUAUGGACAAGUAUGAAAAGAAGUGAUUACUAAUGCCUGUUAUUUACUGAGGACAACAUAUGUAAAAAGAGAAGGUGAACAAAUAGGAAGAUGGUAGAAUAUCCCACCGCUGUGUCCCAUCUGCUGUUUUUCAUUGUACCAUAAGCUCCACGCUACAGAGCCCAUUUGUGGAGACUACACUAGCGUUCUUUUGCAGAUCAAUAUUUUAAGUAGCUCAACUCUCUUAAUUACUUAAAAUAUUGUUAGCUGUUUUAUACUCCUGUGGAUCUUUUAUUCAUUGCUCCAAUUUUGUGUAGACUUUCAAACCUUUUGAACUGUGGGGACAGUUCAAUGCCUGCACUGUCCCUCCUUGUCACCAUUAGUGCUUCCUGGCUUUGAAUUAGUGAACACUUAUUGGUUUUCAUUCCAGAGUUUGUUGAUGCAAAGUUUAAAAGCUUUAAAAAAAUCCCAUUUAAGCCAGGCAAUGGUGGCACAAGCCUUUAAUCCUAGUAUUUGGGAGAAAGAAGCAGGCAGAGUUUUGAGUUCAAGGCCAGCCUGGUCUAUAAUAUAAGUUUCAGGACAGCUAGGGCUAUUAAACUGAAAAACCUUGUCUUGGGUGGGGAAUCCAUUUUAAUACCUUUGUGCAUAUUUCUGAUUUUUAAAAAUUACUUAUAUUUAUUUUGUGUAUGUGUUGG
Molecule: long non-coding RNA, 1610 nt
Filed under: Mus pahari (shrew mouse)
Lineage: Eukaryota; Metazoa; Chordata; Mammalia; Rodentia; Muridae
Description: predicted gene 12580 (MGP_PahariEiJ_G0006174.1)
Source: RNAcentral